This 79-nucleotide transfer RNA is filed under the name Albidovulum sp. RNAcentral describes it as "tRNA-Gly". Lineage: Bacteria; Pseudomonadati; Pseudomonadota; Alphaproteobacteria; Rhodobacterales; Paracoccaceae. The record is from RNAcentral.
GUCCUUGUUGGGAAGGCACGCGCCUGCCGCGCGCGGCGGUAUAAAUCGUACCCCGGUUCGAUUCCGGCACUUAGCCCCA